Molecule: ribosomal RNA, 407 nt
Filed under: uncultured bacterium
Lineage: Bacteria
Description: partial 16S ribosomal RNA
Rfam family: Bacterial small subunit ribosomal RNA
Source: RNAcentral
GACGAACGCUGGCGGCGUGCCUAAUACAUGCAAGUCGAGCGGAGCGGCGGACGGGUGAGUAAUGCCUAGGAAUCUGCCUGGUAGUGGGGGAUAACGUCCGGAAACGGGCGCUAAUACCGCAUACUAUCAGAUGAGCCUAGGUCGGAUUAGCUAGUUGGUGGGGUAAAGGCCUACCAAGGCGACGAUCCGUAACUGGUCUGAGAGGAUGAUCAGUCACACUGGAACUGAGACACGGUCCAGACUCCUACGGGAGGCAGCAGUGGGGAAUAUUGCACAAUGGGCGCAAGCCUGAUGCAGCCAUGCCGCGUGUGUGAAGAAGGCCUUCGGGUUGUAAAGCACUUGCAGCGGGGAGGCGUUACCCGCAGAAUAAGCACCGGCUAACUACGUGCCAGCCGCCGCGGUAAUUC